This 545-nucleotide long non-coding RNA is filed under the name Homo sapiens (human). RNAcentral describes it as "HSALNT0376340". Lineage: Eukaryota; Metazoa; Chordata; Mammalia; Primates; Hominidae. The record is from RNAcentral.
AGGAAGGAAGACAUAUUCUGGCAAACUUAACAUUAAUGCCAGGAACAAGUCUAGAUUGGAUUUUCAUAGGUGAUUUGAGAGUACUUAAGGAAAAGACAUGAUCAUUUAGAGCCAGCCUAAGUUUACCAAAAACAGGUUAAGCCACACUAACUUUAUUUUUCAGAUAAGAUUAGCAUAUUCGUAGUCUGGAAAAUGCUAUACAAAGAAUGUAAAGCAUGAAACUACUUGUGGACCAAAUGAAAAACUGUGGAGCAGAUUAUGAUGCAGUUAGACCUUGCUUGAAUGACUUUGACCCACAAAAGCAGAGAGAUUGCCCUACGUGUAACAGCUGCAUACAAAAAAGUUAUAAAAUUAUCAUUGGUUUAACAAGGAUAAGUGAAAAACAUUAAAAUUCUCCAACUGAACAAGGUAUGCAAGGAUUUUUAUCUUGUUGUUGUUUUGUUAAAAUAGUAAGAGCAAAAUAACUUACUGGAAUAUAAAGAUAAGAGCUGAAUGAGCAUGCCACUAAUGGAGAAAGGGGGUAUUUUCACAGAAUCAGUAUUUUU